This is a long non-coding RNA of Rhineura floridana, 772 nucleotides long. RefSeq lists it as uncharacterized. The transcript has 4 exons. The record is from RefSeq and is a predicted model, not a curated record. Lineage: Eukaryota; Metazoa; Chordata; Lepidosauria; Squamata; Rhineuridae.
AUUUAAAAAACGCCUCCACGUGGCAGUGGUUUUGUGUGUAGUGACCCUUAGAUGGCUCUCUGUGCAGCUUGUCUCCCUUUCCCAGCUACAUGUGUACAUCAGAAAGCAACCAUCAUCUGAUUUGUACCUUUGCACAAAGAAACGUCAGUGUUGGCUGAGGCAGCCGGAUACUGUUGCAUCAGAAGUUGUACAAUAAUGAUGCCACAUGUGGAUUGAAAUUUUAAAGCUGGAUUCUAGGAGAAAUGGGGGGUAUCAUGCAAAGACAGAUUGCUAGGGCUCCUGAGCCUUUAACAGCUGUAUGGAAGCAGAAAUUAACUGCAGCUUGAUAGCUGGACACAAGGCAGUCCAAGGGAAGAGAAGCCAAGUGGAAAAUGCUUCUGUGAUAACUUUGAAAUGAUAACACAUCAAAGAGUCCAUAUGAAAGAGAAACCACAUAAAUGCUUGUGGAAAAAAAUAAAAGGCAUCAAGUUGCGCACAAAGCCAGAAAUGUGACAUUCAGCCAGCAGUAAGCCAAAUAUUUAUAAAUGAAGCAUUUUCCAGGGCUGAAGUCCAGUAAUAGAGGCUUGCUCAGAAAAUACAUUUUGCUGAUGUUUAGGAAUUUUGCAACAUUGCCCUCACUCUAUGGAUGGAAUAAGUCUUUGGAUCCUUAAAGACUGUCUUCAUUCUGCAUUUUGAAAAUUUUAUGGAGCUCUGUUUUAACAUAUAUGUAUCUGCUGUUGUUAUUUUCUUGUUAAUUUUUAAAAUGUUAAUUCUGUGCACUAUUUUAUUGUUU